GGAAAUGUAGCUCAAUGGUAGAGCACAUGCCCAGCAUGCAUGAGAUCCCAAGUUCAAUUUCCA
RNAcentral lists this transfer RNA (63 nucleotides) under Heterocephalus glaber (naked mole-rat). It matches the Rfam family "tRNA". Rfam says of the family: Transfer RNA (tRNA) molecules are approximately 80 nucleotides in length. Their secondary structure includes four short double-helical elements and three loops (D, anti-codon, and T loops). Lineage: Eukaryota; Metazoa; Chordata; Mammalia; Rodentia; Bathyergidae. The record is from Rfam by way of RNAcentral.